AACAGAUCCUCGCAAGUAGUGUGGUGGUGUGUGUGUGUGUGUGUCUGUGUGUGUGUGUGUGUGUGUGUGUGUGUAAGGGAGGCAGGGAGCUGAGUAAACGGCUUAAAGCUGGUUGUAAUUGUGUUUUACUGCAGUCACUCCCAGAGGCACAGCCUCGUUGGCCUGUAUGCAGGACUCAAUGGGAUCCAGGUGUGAACACAACACAAUGGUUUCAAGGGAUACUAAUUUACCAAAGGAGUGGAGAAAAGUAACAGUCAGGGAUGAGAAUGAAUGUGUGAAAACUGAGAAGAGUUUUGGGGUUAAAGUUUGACACUGUGGUGUGUCCCAGGGGAGGUUCAUUUAAAAAGGAGCUUUCAGAGUGCAUGGUUGAGUGUCCCAGGUCUAAAUCAGUCCCUGAUUAAAGGGGAAUCACCCACCUGGUGUCCCAGGUCUAAAUCAGGGAACAAUGAAAUAAUGCAGUGAAACUGUCUUGGAGAUCCGGAGUUGAGUUUGAAGGCCCUAUAUAAUGCACUACUCACCCUAUUCCCUAUAUAAGCACUACUCACCCUAUUCCCUAUAUAGUGCACUACUUUUGACCUAGGGUGCCAUUUGCCAUCACACCUCUCUGAAACUAUGCAAAUCUGCCCGUCAUAUCAAGCUUGAGUGUGUCAGUGGAGAGGGAGGAAAACCCUUUUGACGGGGGGUUCCCGGUCUAGAAGGAACUGUAGUCCUUUCCAGCAGCUUCUUCUAGUGAAUCCUAUUGAAAUCCAGAAGAUUUUACAGGCUUUCCUACGAGGUAGAGAUGGAUUAAUGAUAAUAUGGAGAUUGUGGAGAAUAUUUGCUUCCAACAACAAGAGGCAGACUUUGCAGAGACUCAGUGUGCCUCACAAAAGUAGUGCACUAUAAAGGGAAUAGGGUGCCAUUUGGGACUCAGAGGAGUUUCUAAAAGAUAUUACAGCAUUAUUCAGACAUGGUGGGAGAUUAACAUGCUCAAUUACAAACUGUUCUGUAGGGCCAUUAUCCCAGUCUCUAAUGUAGCCCAGUGGGACCAUUAUCCCAGUCUCUAAUGUAGCCCAUUGGGGCCAUUAUCCCAGUCGCUAAAGUAGCCCAGUGGGGCCAUUAUCCCAGUCUCGAAGGUAGCCCAGUGGGGCCAUUAUCCCAGUCUCGAAUGUAGCCCAGUGGUGCCAUUAUCCCAGUCUCGAAAGUAGCCCAGUGGGGCCAUUAUCCCAGUCUCUAAUGUAGCCCAGUGGGGCCAUUAUCCCAGUCUCGAAUGUAGCCCAGUGGGGCCAUUAUCCCAGUCUCGAAUGUAGCCCAGUGGGGCCAUUAUCCCAGUCUCUAAUGUAGCCCAGUGGGGCCAUUAUCCCAAUCUCUAAGGUAGCCCAGUGGGGCCAUUAUCCCAGUCUCUAAUGUAGCCCAGUGGGGCCAUUAUCCCAGUCUCUAAGGUAGCCCAGUAGGGCCAUUAUCUCAGUCUCUAAGGUAGCCCAGUGGGGCCAUUAUCCCAGUCUCGAAUGUAGCCCAUUGGGGCCAUUAUCCCAGUCGCUAAAGUAGCCCAGUGGGGCCAUUAUCCCAGUCUCUAAUGUAGCCCAGUGGUGCCAUUAUCCCAGUCUCUAAUGUAACCCAGUGGGGAUAUUAUCCCAGUCUCUAAGGUAGCCCAGUGGGGCCAUUAUCCCAGUCUCUAAGGUAGCCCAGUGGGGCCAUUAUCCCAGUCUCGAAUGUAGCCCAGUGGGGCCAUUAUCCCAGUCUCGAAUGGAGCCCAGUGGUGCCAUUAUCCCAUCUCGAAUGUAGCCCAGUGGGGCCAUUAUCCCAGUCUCUAAUGUAGCCCAGUGGGGCCAUUAUCCCAGUCUCUAAGGUAGCCCAGUGGGGCCAUUAUCCCAGUCUCUAAUGUAGCCCAGUGGGGCCAUUAUCCCAGUCUCGAAUGUAGCCCAGUGGGGCCAUUAUCCCAGUCUCGAAUGUAGCCCAGUGGUGCCAUUAUCCCAGUCUCGAAAGUAGCCCAGUGGGGCCAUUAUCCCAGUCUCUAAUGUAGCCCAGUGGUGCCAUUAUCCCAGUCUCGAAUGUAGCCCAGUGGGGCCAUUAUCCCAGUCUCUAAUGUAGCCCAGUGGGGCCAUUAUCCCAGUCUCUAAUGUAGCCCAGUGGGGCCAUUAUCCCAGUCUCUAAUGUAGCCCAUUGGGGCCAUUAUCCCAGUCUGUAAGGUAGCCCAGUGGGGCCAUUAUCCCAGUCUCUAAUGUAGCCCAGUGGGGCCAUUAUCCCUGUCUCUAAUGUAGCCCAGUGGGGCCAUUAUCCCAAUCUCUAAGGUAGCCCAGUGGGGCCAUUAUCCCAGUCUCGAAUGUAGCCCAGUGGGGCCAUUAUCCCAGUCUCUAAUGUAGCCCAGUGGUGCCAUUAUCCCAGUCUGUAAGGUAGCCCAGUGGGGCCAUUAUCCCAGUCUCUAAUGUAGCCCAGUGGUGCCAUUAUCCCAGUCUGUAAGGUAGCCCAGUGGGGCCAUUAUCCCAGUCUCUAAGGUAGCCUAGGUGAUAUGCUGCUAUUUAUUUUCUAUUAUGCGAGUUUAAUGUGAUUUUCCAAUUAUACAACAGCAUGUGGGGAAGCAACUGAGGUAAAGGACUUAUUGGUUAAAUAUGAUUGAGUUGUAGAUUCCAGAGUAAUUCUUUACGCUCACAAAUAGAGCAUGGUUUACUGAUAAUAAUGGUAUAAUAAUGAUUCAAUGUGAUAAUGGUGAUAAUGGUAUAAUAAUGAUUCAAUGUGAUAAUGGUGAUAAUGGUAUAAUAAUGAUUCAAUGUGAUAAUGGUACAAUAAUGAUUCAAUGUCAUAAUGGUAUAAUAAUGAUUCAAUGUGAUAAUGGUGAUAAUGGUAUAAUAAUGAUUCAAUGUGAUAAUGGUAUAAUAAUGAUUCAAUGUGAUAAUGGUGAUAAUGGUAUAAUAAUGAUUCAAUGCGAUAAUGGUGAUAAUGGUCCAAUAAUGAUUCAAUGUGAUAAUGGUGCUAAUGGUAUAAUAAUGAUUCAAUGUGAUAAUGGUGAUAAUGGUAUAAUAAUGAUUCAAUGUGAUAAUGGUAUAAUAAUGAUUCAAUGUGAUAA
This is a long non-coding RNA of Oncorhynchus tshawytscha (Chinook salmon), 3043 nucleotides long. The record is from Ensembl. NCBI's taxonomy places the organism in Eukaryota, Metazoa, Chordata, Actinopteri, Salmoniformes, Salmonidae.